This 253-nucleotide ribosomal RNA is filed under the name uncultured bacterium. RNAcentral's name for it is "partial 16S ribosomal RNA". It matches the Rfam family "Bacterial small subunit ribosomal RNA", at positions 524 to 776 of the family's 1533-position model. The record is from RNAcentral.
UACGAAGGGGGCUAGCGUUGCUCGGAAUCACUGGGCGUAAAACGCACGUAGGCGGAUUGCUAAGUCAGGGGUGAAAUCCUGGAGCUCAACUCCAGAACUGCCCUUGAUACUGGCGGUCUCGAGUCCGGGAGAGGUGAGUGGAACUGCGAGUGUAGAGGUGAAAUUCGUAGAUAUUCGCAAGAACACCAGUGGCGAAGGCGGCUCACUGGCCCGGUACUGACGCUGAGGUGCGAAAGCGUGGGGAGCAAACAGG